AUUGAACGCUGGCGGCAUGCUUUACACAUGCAAGUCGAACGGCAGCGCGGGCUUCGGCCUGGCGGCGAGUGGCGAACGGGUGAGUAAUGCAUCGGAACGUGCCCAGUAGUGGGGGAUAGCCCGUCGAAAGCCGGAUUAAUACCGCAUACGACCUGAGGGUGAAAGCGGGGGACCGAAAGGCCUCGCGCUAUUGGAGCGGCCGAUGUCGGAUUAGCUAGUUGGUGGGGUAAAGGCUUACCAAGGCGACGAUCCGUAGCUGGUCUGAGAGGACGACCAGCCACACGGGGACUGAGACACGGCCCAGACUCCUACGGGAGGCAGCAGUGGGGAAUGUUGGACAAUGGGGGCAAACCUGAUCCAGCCAUGCCGCGUGCGGGAAGAAGGCCUUCGGGUUGUAAACCGCUUUUGUUCGGGAAGAAAUCCUCUGGGCUAAUACCCCGGGGGGAUGACGGUACCGGAAGAAUAAGCACCGGCUAACUACGUG
Molecule: ribosomal RNA, 484 nt
Filed under: uncultured bacterium
Lineage: Bacteria
Description: partial 16S ribosomal RNA
Rfam family: Bacterial small subunit ribosomal RNA
Source: RNAcentral